RNAcentral lists this ribosomal RNA (463 nucleotides) under uncultured archaeon. RNAcentral describes it as "bacterial SSU rRNA". It matches the Rfam family "Archaeal small subunit ribosomal RNA", at positions 19 to 458 of the family's 1478-position model. The record is from RNAcentral.
GGACCCGACUGCUAUCGGAUUGAGAUUUAGCCACUCGAGUCGAACGUCCCCCUGUUGCGGGGGGCGUGGCGUACGGCUCAGUAACACGUAGUCAACCUGCCCUGGAGACACGGACAACCCCGGGAAACUGGGACUAAUCCGUGAUAGGUCACCUCAUCUGGAAGGAGAGAUGGCCCAAAGGGGCGCGCGGGCUUCUUCUGCGCGUUCGCUCCAGGAUGGGACUGCGACCGAUCAGGCUGUUGGCGGGGUAAAGGCCCACCAAACCUGUAACCGGUACGGGCCUUGAGAGAGGUGGCCCGGAGAUGGACACUGAGAAAAGGGUCCAGGUCCUACGGGGCGCAGCAGGCGCGAAACCUUCGCAAUGCGCGAAAGCGUGACGAGGUUAAUCCGAGUGAUUUCCGCUGAGGAGACCUUUUGUCGGCUGUAAAUAGGCCGGCGAAUAAGGGGAGGGCAAGCCUGGUGU